Molecule: long non-coding RNA, 1194 nt
Filed under: Nicotiana benthamiana
Lineage: Eukaryota; Viridiplantae; Streptophyta; Magnoliopsida; Solanales; Solanaceae
Description: long non-coding RNA (NBEN_LNC037708)
Source: RNAcentral
CUCGUUUAAGAUUUAACCUAGAAACAAAAACUGAUCAAACUCUACUGUCUACUCCGGCGAUGGAAGGCCGAUCCCAGAGAAACAUGUCCACUUCAGCUAAUGUAAGGGAAAAUCCGAUGUUGGAUGUCAGUAUUUUCUCCAUGUUCGUUGUUUGUAUGGAAUUUUAAUGUUUCGCUGAAAAACUAUUUUCCUACUUCGCCGAUUUUCUUUCCCUGGUAAUAUUUCUCAUACACCCAUAGUUUUGCAUAUGUUCUUUGUCUGUUUUUUAUGAUAAGUUUUGUUAUUUCUAAUUUAUAAUAGGGUGUUUUCUUGGUGGAUUUUUAUUUUAUGUUAGAAACCAUGAGAUUUCCCUUGUUCAAUGUUUGCUGUCGAUAUUCGAUGCUGGUUGUCUUGUUUGUUAUUCUGGAAAAUCGUUUCAAUGCUCCUCCUUUUUAUCGUUGGUUAUAUUGCCGAUAAACUCAUAAUUUUCCUUUGUUGUUUGCAUUAUACAUUUUGUGAUUUCUAAUUUUCAGAUUUGGGGGUUUAGCUGGUGAAUUUUGAUUUCGUGUUAGAAAUCAUGAUAAAUCCAUUGUGAUUUCUGUUUGAUAUUCGAUGUUCGCUGUCUUGUUCGUUAUUCUGAAAAAUCAUUUCAAUGUUUUUUUGUUCUGUGGUAAUAUUGCUGAAAAAUCACAACUUCAUCUCAAUGUUGUGAAAAAUCACAACUUCAUCUGUACAGUUGAGUUAGAACCAUGGUUUACUUUAAUGAAUAAGAAUGUUUUACUUUAAUGCUUAGACAAGUUCAUAAUUUAAUUCGCUGAAGAAGUAUGUCUCCUUUUCAACACUGAGACAAGUUCCUUCUUAAUCGAUAUUCAGUUAAAAAGAGAAAAAGGUGAUUUGUAGGAAUAAUUUCUGAUUGAAAUGAUUUAAUUUUGGAUGUUGACAGAAAUUGGAUACAGAGAUAGCAGACUGUGGCAGCAGACAUUUCUACCACCACCACCACCAAAUUCCUUUCAUCUUUCCUUUUGCAGAUUCUUUAUAGUUUAGUUUUAGUGUUUUUAUGUUACGAGCCAAAACUCUUUCUUUUCUCUCAUUAUUUUUAAUUAAGGGUACACAUAUUUACUCACAAAGAAAUUACUCCAAGCGUGUUAUUUUUGAUAUUUUGAGAGUAUUAAAGUAGACAUUUUACAGACUUGAGUGUCAGAUUCUGUCUGUGGG